Molecule: long non-coding RNA, 233 nt
Organism: Archocentrus centrarchus (flier cichlid)
Lineage: Eukaryota; Metazoa; Chordata; Actinopteri; Cichliformes; Cichlidae
Exons: 3
Source: RefSeq, a predicted model, not a curated record
CCACAACAUAACAAUCAGCCAUGUGACGAUGGGACACAUCCCGAAGAACAUAUCCCCUGAUGAGACGUUAUCAAGCGCUCCGAGGAUAUUUACAGUCUUGGGGCAAAGAAAUAUGUAUCAUCGAAAGAUCUACCUGGGUACCUUCAGGUACGAUAUCAGGGGACCGCCACUUCAGACGUUUGAGAUACCGGCUCGUAACAGAAUGAUGAAGUUCCUGACACUGUGGAUCCACA